AAAUUGAAGAGUUUGAUCAUGGCUCAGAUUGAACGCUGGCGGCAGGCCUAACACAUGCAAGUCGAACGGUAACAGGAAGCAGCUUGCUGCUUUGCUGACGAGUGGCGGACGGGUGAGUAAUGUCUGGGAAACUGCCCGAUGGAGGGGGAUAACUACUGGAAACGGUGGCUAAUACCGCAUAACGUCGCAAGACCAAAGAGGGGGACCUUCGGGCCUCUUGCCAUCAGAUGUGCCCAGAUGGGAUUAGCUUGUUGGUGAGGUAACGGCUCACCAAGGCGACGAUCCCUAGCUGGUCUGAGAGGAUGACCAGCCACACUGGAACUGAGACACGGUCCAGACUCCUACGGGAGGCAGCAGUGGGGAAUAUUGCACAAUGGGCGCAAGCCUGAUGCAGCCAUGCCGCGUGUAUGAAGAAGGCCUUCGGGUUGUAAAGUACUUUCAGCGGGGAGGAAGGUGUUGUGGUUAAUAACCGCAGCAAUUGACGUUACCCGCAGAAGAAGCACCGGCUAACUCCGUGCCAGCAGCCGCGGUAAUACGGAGGGUGCAAGCGUUAAUCGGAAUUACUGGGCGUAAAGCGCACGCAGGCGGUCUGUCAAGUCGGAUGUGAAAUCCCCGGGCUCAACCUGGGAACUGCAUUCGAAACUGGCAGGCUUGAGUCUUGUAGAGGGGGGUAGAAUUCCAGGUGUAGCGGUGAAAUGCGUAGAGAUCUGGAGGAAUACCGGUGGCGAAGGCGGCCCCCUGGACAAAGACUGACGCUCAGGUGCGAAAGCGUGGGGAGCAAACAGGAUUAGAUACCCUGGUAGUCCACGCCGUAAACGAUGUCUACUUGGAGGUUGUGCCCUUGAGGCGUGGCUUCCGGAGCUAACGCGUUAAGUAGACCGCCUGGGGAGUACGGCCGCAAGGUUAAAACUCAAAUGAAUUGACGGGGGCCCGCACAAGCGGUGGAGCAUGUGGUUUAAUUCGAUGCAACGCGAAGAACCUUACCUGGUCUUGACAUCCACAGAACUUUCCAGAGAUGGAUUGGUGCCUUCGGGAACUGUGAGACAGGUGCUGCAUGGCUGUCGUCAGCUCGUGUUGUGAAAUGUUGGGUUAAGUCCCGCAACGAGCGCAACCCUUAUCCUUUGUUGCCAGCGAUUAGGUCGGGAACUCAAAGGAGACUGCCAGUGAUAAACUGGAGGAAGGUGGGGAUGACGUCAAGUCAUCAUGGCCCUUACGACCAGGGCUACACACGUGCUACAAUGGCGCAUACAAAGAGAAGCGACCUCGCGAGAGCAAGCGGACCUCAUAAAGUGCGUCGUAGUCCGGAUUGGAGUCUGCAACUCGACUCCAUGAAGUCGGAAUCGCUAGUAAUCGUGGAUCAGAAUGCCACGGUGAAUACGUUCCCGGGCCUUGUACACACCGCCCGUCACACCAUGGGAGUGGGUUGCAAAAGAAGUAGGUAGCUUAACCUUCGGGAGGGCGCUUACCACUUUGUGAUUCAUGACUGGGGUGAAGUCGUAACAAGGUAACCGUAGGGGAACCUGCGGUUGGA
This 1531-nucleotide ribosomal RNA is filed under the name Salmonella enterica subsp. enterica serovar Schwarzengrund. Its description in RNAcentral is "bacterial SSU rRNA". It matches the Rfam family "Bacterial small subunit ribosomal RNA". Lineage: Bacteria; Pseudomonadati; Pseudomonadota; Gammaproteobacteria; Enterobacterales; Enterobacteriaceae. The record is from RNAcentral.